GACGAACGCUGGCGGCAGGCUUAACACAUGCAAGUCGAACGCUCGUAGCAAUACGGGAGUGGCGGACGGGGUGAGUAACGCGUGGGAACGUGCCCUGAGGUACGGAAUAACUGAGGGAAACUUCAGCUAAUACCGUAUGAGCCCCGAGAGGGGGAAAGAUUUAUCGCCUUGGGAGCGGCCCGCGUCGGAUUAGCUAGUUAGUGGGGUAACGGCCUACCAAGGCUUCGAUCCGUAGCUGGUCUGAGAGGACGAUCAGCCACACUGGGACUGAGACACGGCCCAGACUCCUACGGGAGGCAGCAGUGGGGAAUCUUGCGCAAUGGGGGCAACCCUGACGCAGCCAUGCCGCGUGAACGAUGAAGGCCUUAGGGUUGUAAAGUUCUUUUACCCGUGACGAUGAUGACGGUAACGGGGAAUAAGCUCCGGCUAACUUCGUGCCAGCAGCCGCGGUAAU
This 454-nucleotide ribosomal RNA is filed under the name uncultured bacterium. RNAcentral describes it as "bacterial SSU rRNA". It matches the Rfam family "Bacterial small subunit ribosomal RNA", at positions 28 to 524 of the family's 1533-position model. The record is from RNAcentral.